Alligator mississippiensis (American alligator) is the source of this 861-nucleotide long non-coding RNA. RefSeq lists it as uncharacterized. The record is from RefSeq and is a predicted model, not a curated record. The transcript is spliced from 2 exons. NCBI's taxonomy places the organism in Eukaryota, Metazoa, Chordata, Crocodylia, Alligatoridae.
UAUGUUUUUUUCCUAAAAAUUGAACAUUUUUGGAAAAAUUAAAAAAAAACAAAACUUAUGAAAUAUUUUUUUAGAAUGAUGAAUAAAAUAUUUAAGACAAAGUUUUCAUAUAUUGCUACCUUUUACUCCCCAAAAACGUUUUCUAAUAAACUAUGUAAUAGGAAGACUUUUACAGACAACUAUCUACAGUACCAAUCAUUACAAUUCCUGUGCACCGAGGACAAGCCAUCCAGGACAACUCUCAAAUGCAAGAGCAAGAUGCAUUUCUGCCCCUGGGGCACUGCCAUUUUCACAGAAGGAAGGAGGAUUCUUUGCUUGUGGCCUUCCUCUGUUGCUGACUUUUGAUCUAGAGGUUGGUGGAUCUGCUCCUGUCCUCCUGACUAGGCAUCAAAGGACUGGGAGUGGACACUAGCAGCAGCAGCCAUUUGUUCCUGUAGAGAUUGGAAACAAGGAGCUUAUUGCCCCGCUUGCUCAAAAGCCUCAGGAGAGGAGACAGAGCAAGUCUAAAGGUUUUGGAGUUGGAAGGAGCCUGCCCCCUCCUGGCCCCAUGACCUUGAGAUCCACAGAAGUACAGAAGCAGCACAAAGGAGCUGAAAGAAAGUUUACUUCUUUAUUGAAAAAUUUCUCCAUCUUCUGCAGCACGUGAAAGAAACGGGUCUACGUUUGGAAAUCCUUGCACCAAAUCAAGAAAUAAACUAACACGUGAAAGAGUAGAGAAGUUUCUCUCAAUCUGGGGAAACCUUCAGUUUUCAGAACCGCAUGAAGACGAUAAAAAUGAAGGAUGAGAAGAAGCAGAAACUGCUGACAGUGAUAGCUCAGAGUUUAGACAAAGUUUCACGUAGCAAAAUUUGUAUUCAAUGA